Molecule: ribosomal RNA, 1528 nt
Filed under: human gut metagenome
Description: bacterial LSU rRNA
Rfam family: Bacterial large subunit ribosomal RNA
Source: RNAcentral
AGCGGGGCCCAUCCCGUAAGGCUAAAUACUCCCGAGAGACCGAUAGCGAACCAGUACUGUGAAGGAAAGGUGAAAAGCACCUCGAACAGAGGAGUGAAAUAGUCCCUGAAACCGUCUGCCUACAAGCGGUCGGAGCAACGUAAGUUGUGACGGCGUGCCUUUUGCAUAAUGAACCUACGAGUUACUUUCUCCGGCAAGGUUAAGGGCUUCAGGCCCGGAGCCGAAGCGAAAGCGAGUCUUAAUAGGGCGUGAUAGUCGGAGUGAGUAGACGCGAAACCAAGUGAUCUACCCUUGGUCAGGAUGAAGGUUGGGUAACACCAACUGGAGGUCCGAAUGGGUAUACGUUGAAAAGUGUUCCAAUGAACUGAGGGUAGGGGUGAAAGGCUAAUCAAACUUGGAGAUAGCUCGUACUCCCCGAAAUGCAUUUAGGUGCAGCCUUUAUUUAGUAUAGCAUGAGGUAGAGCGACUGAUUGGAUGCGAGGGCUUCACCGCCUAUCAAGUCCAGAUAAACUCCGAAUGCGUGCUAUAUAUUGAUAAGGAGUGAGGGCGCGGGUGCUAAGGUCCGCGUCCGAGAGGAGAAGAAUCCAGACCAUCAGCUAAGGUCCCCAAAUAACAGUUAAGUUGAACUAACGAAGUCGGACUGCAGAGACAGCUAGGAUGUUGGCUUGGAAGCAGCCAUUCAUUUAAAGAGUGCGUAACAGCUCACUAGUCGAGGAGUCCGGCGUGGAUAAUACUCGGGCAUAAACUGUUUACCGAAGCUAUGGAUGUAGAAAUACAUGGUAGGGGAGCAUUCCAACGGCGUCGAAGGUGAAGGAUGACCUUUGCUGGAGCUUUUGGAAACGCAAAUGUAGGUAUAAGUAACGAUAAAGGAGGUGAGAAACCUCCUCGCCGAAAGACUAAGGUUUCCUGAUCAACGUUAAUCGGAUCAGGGUAAGUCGGGACCUAAGGUUAAGCCGAACGGCGAUACCGAUGGAAGAAUGGUUUAAUAUUCCCAUACUACUUUAUGGAGCGAUGUGGAGACGGAGAAGUGAAAGUCCUGCCAUCUGACGGAAUAGGUGGUUGAAGAGUGUAGAUGUAGAUUCCUGUAGGCAAAUCCGCAGGGAGAGUCGACCUUGACAGUAUGCCGCGUGCUUGCACAAGGCAAAAUGGACGUAAUCAGGCUCCCAAGAAAAUCCGCUAAGCAUAUUCAUAAAGUACCCGUACCGUAAACGGACACACGUAGUUGGGUUGAGAAUACUGAGGCGCUCGAGUGAUUCACGGUUAAGGAACUAGGCAAAUUGACCCUGUAACUUCGGGAUAAAGGGUCCCUACUGAGAGGUAGGGCGCAGAGAAUAGGUCCAGGCAACUGUUUAACAAAAACACAUGGCUGUGCGAAAUAGAAAUAUGAAGUAUACAGCCUGACACCUGCCCGGUGCUGGAAGGUUAAGAGGAGAGCUCAUCGCAAGAGAAGGUUUGAAUUGAAGCCCCAGUAAACGGCGGCCGUAACUAUAACGGUCCUAAGGUAGCGAAAUUCCUUGUCGGGUAAGUU